This 73-nucleotide transfer RNA is filed under the name Eoscarta assimilis. RNAcentral's name for it is "tRNA-Leu". The record is from RNAcentral. Lineage: Eukaryota; Metazoa; Arthropoda; Insecta; Hemiptera; Cercopidae.
UCUAAUAUGGCAGAAAUCAGUGCAAUAAACUUAAGAUUUAUUAAUAAGAUCUUUAUUUAAAUCUUUUUUAGAA